Salvelinus namaycush (lake trout) is the source of this 1248-nucleotide long non-coding RNA. RefSeq lists it as uncharacterized. Lineage: Eukaryota; Metazoa; Chordata; Actinopteri; Salmoniformes; Salmonidae. The record is from RefSeq and is a predicted model, not a curated record. The transcript is spliced from 3 exons.
AACUUCCGACUUCAACUGUAUGUGUCUUUAUAUAAUAAACUAUUGUUAAAUAUUAACAAAUAAUGUAACCUGUUUUUUAGAUUGACAUUGCUAGUAUUGAGAAUUUUCCAGAACAUGUGUGGCAAUUAUUUAUUUCAGACGUGCCAGCAAGACUAGUGCACUCUAUAUAUGCGCUGGGUCAUUAGACACCAUUAGACAUGCACCUGUCUGGGGAGUGGACAUGUCUGGUUAUUUCUGUAACAGUGGUAUGGCCUAAUAUUGACUGUUGCUAUGGUCCUACAUGAAUGCACCUGUCUUAGGUGAGAACAUGUCUGUAUUUUUUAACUAUUGGUGUGGCUCUAAAGGUUCCAUGCCCUAAUGUGAAACCAAACUAAAAUGAGUGCAAGGCAAAAAGAUAACGGUGGCUAAAUGCCAGAGGGGAUGAGUCAUUAAGAGGAGUUACUAUGUGUGUGACGUAAGGAGGAGAAAUGCAUAAGAAGUGUGUGCCAAGACUGGAAAGUUAGUUGUUUUCAUGAACCAGCUCGGCUUUUAUUAUAUUGUAAUAAAAGUCUAUUUGAACUCACAGGCUCCGGUAUUUGAGAGAUAUUAUUGACUGAAUAAUUCCACGACACUAGCUAAUGUACUUAUAACGUUAUACCUCUGCCUGCCUAGUCAGCUAGCCAGCUAGCUAGCCAGACAUUUUUAUUUAGCUAACGUUAGCUAGCUAAGUUAGCUACUGUAACUGUUAUUGUAGCUUAAUCUUUCUAUGUAGCUUGCACUUCAAUGGUAUCCCCCGAGAAGAUUUUCUUUUCUUUUUCCAACCAGGCGAAGUACUGAAGGCACCACUGAUCUCGACAAGAGGCGCAACAUUCAGAGAAAUUCACAAUUCAGGGUAAUCAUACAAUAUGUACCUACGGGGGAAGGAUGGCCAGCCACACAGGAGUGUGAUUUUUAUUAAGGAGGAGAAAGAGGUUGUGCUGACCGAGAUGCAUGCUGGCCAUUUCGGAGUGAAGCGCAUGAUUGCCAAAAUCAACCUACGCUUCCUUCUUCUGACGGGGAAUUGUCAAGGAGGUGGACAGCUGGGUCAUUACCCUGUCUAGCAUGCCAGAAAUGUGUGAGGGUGAAGAAUGUGGUGCCGGAGUUGAAGCCCAUCAAAGUUGUUUCACCAUGGCACAUGAUCGGUAAGGGUCCUAAUAGACUUGGCGCUUGCCAUGCGGUAGUAGAGAGAACAGUCUAUGACUGGGGUGGCUGGGGUCUUUGACAAUUUUU